ACUCCUACGGGAGGCAGCAGUGGGGAAUCUUGGACAAUGGGCGCAAGCCUGAUCCAGCCAUGCCGCGUGAGUGAUGAAGGCCCUAGGGUCGUAAAAGCUCUUUCGCCAGGGAUGAUAAUGACAGUACCUGGUAAAGAAACCCCGGCUAACUCCGUGCCAGCAGCCGCGGUAAUACGGAGGGGGUUAGCGUUGUUCGGAAUUACUGGGGCGUAAAGCGCGCGUAGGCGGACUGGAAAGUUGGGGGUGAAAUCCCGGGGGCUCAACCCCGGAACUGCCUCCAAAACUCCCAGUCUUGAGUUCGAGAGAGGUGAGUGGAAUUCCGAGUGUAGAGGUGAAAUUCGUAGAUAUUCGGAGGAACACCAGUGGCGAAGGCGGCUCACUGGCUCGAUACUGACGCUGAGGUGCGAAAGUGUGGGGAGCAAACAGGAUUAGAUACCCUGGUAGGAUAGCG
Molecule: ribosomal RNA, 451 nt
Filed under: uncultured bacterium
Lineage: Bacteria
Description: bacterial SSU rRNA
Rfam family: Bacterial small subunit ribosomal RNA
Source: RNAcentral